GACAGCCUUGGGAGAGCGACCCAUGAGCUGGCAGAACCCUGUCUCCUGCGUGAGCGAUCGCGGGAGACAUCGUUCUGUGGAACAGAACCCGAAGAGACUUGGUGGGUUUGCAGCGAAGCUCUGUGUCAGGCCGAACUUGUACAUACAGUCACCGCAUCGCUCGGGAAGAGCAAGCUCUUCCCGCGGUUUCUGUGGUCCUU
This 200-nucleotide non-coding RNA is filed under the name unclassified sequences. RNAcentral describes it as "Cyano-2 RNA". It matches the Rfam family "Cyano-2 RNA". The record is from RNAcentral. RNAcentral also lists the same sequence under 1 other name.